This 1063-nucleotide long non-coding RNA is filed under the name Heterocephalus glaber (naked mole-rat). RNAcentral's name for it is "lncRNA (ENSHGLG00000043223.1)". Lineage: Eukaryota; Metazoa; Chordata; Mammalia; Rodentia; Bathyergidae. The record is from RNAcentral.
AAAAAAAUAGCUCCCAUUGGCCAGGGAUUUAGCUACCAAAAAAAAAAAACUUUUACAAAGAUUUAAAAUAGCUCCCAUCGAGGGCCGGGGAUUUAGCUCAGUGGUUCCACCGCCUGCCUCGCAAGCGCAAGGACCCAAGUUCGAUCCCCGGUACCAAAACAAACAAAUAAAAUAUCUCCCAUUAUUUGAUGGUAUAACAUCAAAGGAUUAAAAACAAAACAUACUAAAACUAUUUUGGAUUAAUAUUCUGUGUGUUUUCAUUAUUUUUCAUAAACACCUUUCUAUAAACUUGUAGGGUAUUAUGACAUUUAAGAGAAACUUUAACUCCACUUUGCAGAUUUGACAGAAAGGAGGGCAUUUUUGCCAGAAUAUAUUCUUCAAAACUCCGGGGGGGGGCGGCUCAGAGAAUCAUUUCUAAAUGGAUGAGAAAAUUCCUUUCUCUCUUUUUUUUUUUUUUUAGUACCAGGGAUCGAACUUGGGACCUUACACUUGCGAGGCAGGCACAGUGCCAUUGAGCUAAAUCCCCUGCUCCUCCUUUCUACUUUAAUAAAAUUACAGAAUUCUCUUCCCCUCCUCUCUCAUCUUUUCCCUUCUGAAUUUAGAUAUUUUUUCAUUUCAGCUCAGGAAAAGUAGGAAGAGCAGAACCCACAGUGACCUUGCUCCUGACACUGGAGAUUCUGCCCUUGAACCCUAAAGAUGAUUCUUGUUCUCUUUGAGCCUUAAGGGUUCCUCCGCAUCUGGAUGUGCAGACAGGUCCUUAUCCAAAACUUCAUUUUUCAGCCCACUGUGCAGUUUUCCUUGAGCUAUCUGUGUCUUCAAGCAACCCAAAGUCUCCUUAUUCCCAAUCACAGUCUCCUCUGCUUUAAGACAUGUCCUCUGGUUUGGUUCUCUCUGAACAACUACUGUUAAUCGUUGAGCAUCCUCAUAAGAUCUCUCUUGGUCUUGAAGGCAGUAAUCUAAUUUUAAUCUUCUUUUAUCCAUUUAUUUUCUUAAACUGAUUUUCUGUAAUUGCCCAUGGUCAAUAUUUGUGCAGAGUUUUAAAAUUUAUAAAUUAAACUUCAAC